RNAcentral lists this ribosomal RNA (497 nucleotides) under uncultured bacterium. Its description in RNAcentral is "partial 16S ribosomal RNA". It matches the Rfam family "Bacterial small subunit ribosomal RNA", at positions 28 to 507 of the family's 1533-position model. The record is from RNAcentral.
GAUGAACGCUGGCGGCGUGCCUAAUACAUGCAAGUCGAGCGAACAGACGAGGAGCUUGCUCCUUUGACGUUAGCGGCGGACGGGUGAGUAACACGUAGGUAACCUACCUAUAAGACUGGGAUAACUUCGGGAAACCGGAGCUAAUACCGGAUAAUAUUUCGAACCGCAUGGUUCGAUAGUGAAAGAUGGCUUUGCUAUCACUUAUGGAUGGACCUGCGCCGUAUUAGCUAGUUGGUAAGGUAACGGCUUACCAAGGCAACGAUACGUAGCCGACCUGAGAGGGUGAUCGGCCACACUGGAACUGAGACACGGUCCAGACUCCUACGGGAGGCAGCAGUAGGGAACCUUCCGCAAUGGGCGAAAGCCUGACGGAGCAACGCCGCGUGAGUGAUGAAGGUCUUCGGAUCGUAAAACUCUGUUAUUAGGGAAGAACAAACGUGUAAGUAACUGUGCACGUCUUGACGGUACCUAAUCAGAAAGCCACGGCUAACUACGUG